UACGGAGGGUGCAAGCAUUAAUCGGAUUUAUUGGGCGUAAAGGGCGCGUAGGCGGGAAGAUAAGUCAGAUGUGAAAUCCCGGGGCUCAACCUCGGAACUGCAUUUGAAACUAUCUUUCUAGAGGGUAGGCGGAGAAAACGGAAUUCCACAAGUAGCGGUGAAAUGCGUAGAUAUGUGGAAGAACACCGGUGGCGAAGGCGGUUUUCUAGCUUAAACCUGACGCUGAGGCGCGAAAGCAAGGGGAUCAAACAGG
This 253-nucleotide ribosomal RNA is filed under the name uncultured bacterium. RNAcentral's name for it is "partial 16S ribosomal RNA". It matches the Rfam family "Bacterial small subunit ribosomal RNA", at positions 524 to 776 of the family's 1533-position model. The record is from RNAcentral.